Molecule: long non-coding RNA, 740 nt
Organism: Fundulus heteroclitus (mummichog)
Lineage: Eukaryota; Metazoa; Chordata; Actinopteri; Cyprinodontiformes; Fundulidae
Exons: 5
Source: RefSeq, a predicted model, not a curated record
ACGACGAGCCUUCCUGCAGCAACAUCUAUGAAGUUCUGUCUCCUGAAUGUUUUCCACAGACAGACAAAAUGGCUGAAUUGUUCACCUACAGCUCCAAUGAGUUACUGUCUGAAACGGCCAACAACGACAAGCCUUUCUGCAGCAACAUCUAUGAAGUUCUGUCUCCUGAAUGGGAUCCAGACCUGCAGAACCUCAGCAACUAAAACCCGGAGCCACUUGACAUUGAGUCCACCAGGCAACAGAACCGUAGACCAGGUUCUGGGUUAAACUGUUCACUUAUUCAGCCGCCGCCUACUUUUUCAACAGCGGCACGCUGUUUUGUCUUUGCACCUCCGGUAAGCCGCCAAUUCACUGGUGUCAGUAUCAGAAAAUGGAGAAAAUGACAUGGGAAGAAACUAAUAUGUCGUUCAAAAGCUUUAAGGGAAUGUGUGUAACUCACCAAACGGCAAGACUCUCAAAUCUCACUGAGACAUGCAUUUCACUGACUUCACAAACAUUGCAUUCUUCACACAAUGAAUGGUCUUGCAGGUGAUCUGUUCACAGCGCUGUCCGUUCUCAGCUCAGGUAAAUCCCGCCUUCUGUGGAGACGUUUCAGCUUCUUUCUCAGCUUCUGGGCAUCUGUAAUUCCUUCUGCCGUUAGCAGAGCAGCAGGAAGAGGUAGAACAAUGCUGAGCAAUUUAAUAUAACGUUAGCCCGGUGAUUAACGACCUGCAAUACUGUGCAAGGUUUGUUUAUCUGAA